ACUCCUACGGGAGGCAGCAGUGGGGAAUAUUGCACAAUGGGCGCAAGCCUGAUGCAGCCAUGCCGCGUGUAUGAAGAAGGCCUUCGGGUUGUAAAGUACUUUCAGCAGUGAGGAAGGUGUUGUCGUUAAUAGCGGCCUCAUUUGACGUUAGCUGCAGAAGAAGCACCGGCUAACUCCGUGCCAGCAGCCGCGGUAAUACGGAGGGUGCGAGCGUUAAUCGGAAUUACUGGGCGUAAAGCGCAUGCAGGUGGUUUGUUAAGUCAGAUGUGAAAGCCCGGGGCUCAACCUCGGAAUUGCAUUUGAAACUGGCAGACUAGAGUACUGUAGAGGGGGGUAGAAUUUCAGGUGUAGCGGUGAAAUGCGUAGAGAUCUGAAGGAAUACCGGUGGCGAAGGCGGCCCCCUGGACAGAUACUGACACUCAGAUGCGAAAGCGUGGGGAGCAAACAGGAUUAGAUACCCUGGUAGGAUAGCG
This 473-nucleotide ribosomal RNA is filed under the name uncultured bacterium. Its description in RNAcentral is "bacterial SSU rRNA". It matches the Rfam family "Bacterial small subunit ribosomal RNA", at positions 335 to 799 of the family's 1533-position model. The record is from RNAcentral.